Molecule: ribosomal RNA, 643 nt
Filed under: uncultured Rubrobacter sp.
Lineage: Bacteria; Bacillati; Actinomycetota; Rubrobacteria; Rubrobacterales; Rubrobacteraceae
Description: bacterial SSU rRNA
Rfam family: Bacterial small subunit ribosomal RNA
Source: RNAcentral
CUACGGGAGGCAGCAGUCGGGAAUCUUGCACAAUGGGCGAAAGCCUGAUGCAGCAACGCCGUGUGAGCGACGAAGGCCUUAGGGUCGUAAAGCUCUGUUGUUAGGGACGAAGGGCGAAGGGUUAAUAGCCCUUAGCCUGACGGUACCUUUCGAGGAAGCCCCGGCUAACUACGUGCCAGCAGCCGCGGUAAUACGUUGGGGGCGAGCGUUGUCCGGAAUUAUUGGGCGUAAAGGGCGCGUAGGCGGCCUGGUAAGUCUGCUGUGAAACCUUGGGGCUCAACCCCAAGCGUGCAGUGGAUACUGUCAGGCUAGAGGAUGGUAGAGGCCAGUGGAAUUCCCGGUGUAGCGGUGAAAUGCGCAGAUAUCGGGAGGAACACCAGUAGCGAAGGCGGCUGGCUGGGCCAUUCCUGACGCUGAGGCGCGAAAGCUAGGGGAGCGAACAGGAUUAGAUACCCUGGUAGUCCUAGCCGUAAACGAUGAACACUAGGUGUGGGGGGAGUCGAAUCCCUCCGUGCCGAAGCCAACGCGUUAAGUGUUCCGCCUGGGGAGUACGGCCGCAAGGCUAAAACUCAAAAGAAUUGACGGGGGCCCGCACAAGCAGCGGAGCAUGUUCUUUAAUUCGAUGCAACGCGAAGAACCUUAC